GAAUAAGAAUUGGUGAGGCUUGGAAAAUAGAAGAGGACAGAGGAGAUGGAAGAGGAUUGCUGUGAAAUAGAAGGAGAGGAGAUAGGAGAUGUUUGAGGAAAGGAGGAGGAUUUUGUUCGCUGUAAUGGAUAUUUUUUGAAUGAAAUUUGGAACAACUGUAUUUAGAUGUUAUUGAUAUUUUGGACAUCAAGUCAUCAAGUUUCAUUUAUUUGUGUAUUAUACAAGCCUAUCUAUUGGUGGAAAUGUAAAAUGGCAGCUGGUAUAACACCUUGUAUGAAUUAUUAGGAACUCCAAAGAACUUUUGACAGAAUUUAAACUGGGAAGAAGCUCAUAAAAGACUAGUUUAGGCUGCAGUAGUUCCAGGACCUUAAAUUGGCUGCCACAACACAGAUAUCUUUCAAAAAUGAUAUCUGUUCGAGUGAUGUACUGGGCGUUAACAGUUGCUGUUACAAAUCUGCAAAUGAGUUACCACUGUGCAUAAGUUUGAGGAAUGUCAAGAAAUGUUUUGAAUGAAACGAUAGUGAAAAACUUGUCCACAAAUGUCAAUUUCAAGGUACAAUCAAUAGUACUUAGAUUGAUUGGCCUCCACUACCAUUAAGCUAUAAAAAUGUCAGCAAUACAGAUUGGUAUUAAUGGACGUUUUGACAGCUGUUUCCAGUCCAAGUUCCAGUUUUAAUGGAAAAUCUUUAAUGGACACAGAAAAAUGCCAUUUACUGGAUUGACUUCUACACCUGUUGCCUUUUAAUAAUGGUAUACAACGCGACAAUUGCUGUUAGAAGUUAACAAGUAGUACUAGUUGCAGAUAAUAUAUUAUGGUGGACAUCAAAAAGCUUUAAAUGGAAUGAAACUUGCAGGAAAAAUAAAGGAAACCCAUUUUAGACUGUAUACGUAAUAGUUGUUAGAGUGGAUGCAGUCCUUCAUCAAUGUGAGCUGAACAAAUUGAUGGUAAUGGACAUUUUGACAGCUGCUGUCACAACUCAACGAACAAGUUGCAGCUUUGAAGGAACAUUUUUGAUUGGAUACAGAAAAAUGUCAGUCGUUUCAGGAUGUAAAGUUAAUAGAACCAGGGUUAGGCUCGACAUCCGUUGCCUUUUAA
Molecule: long non-coding RNA, 1096 nt
Organism: Sitophilus oryzae (rice weevil)
Lineage: Eukaryota; Metazoa; Arthropoda; Insecta; Coleoptera; Curculionidae
Exons: 6
Source: RefSeq, a predicted model, not a curated record